UCCAUUCUGUAAUCUUACUGGAGGCCUG
RNAcentral lists this small RNA (28 nucleotides) under Bombyx mori (domestic silkworm). Its description in RNAcentral is "ovarian small RNA-27086". The record is from RNAcentral. Lineage: Eukaryota; Metazoa; Arthropoda; Insecta; Lepidoptera; Bombycidae.